This 595-nucleotide unclassified non-coding RNA is filed under the name Hevea brasiliensis (rubber tree). The record is from RNAcentral. Lineage: Eukaryota; Viridiplantae; Streptophyta; Magnoliopsida; Malpighiales; Euphorbiaceae.
AAUUUCUCUCUUCUAGCUUAACCCCAAACACUAAUCAAGUUCCCAAAUCAGCUGAAAAGCAAGCGAAAGGGGGGAAAUGGGAUUAGUGUUUUCACGAUUGUUUUCUUCGUUAUUUGGAAACAAGGAAGCUCGGAUCUUAGUUCUUGGACUUGACAAUGCUGGCAAAACAACAAUUCUCUAUCGUCUUCAGAUGGGUGAAGUAGUUUCCACUAUACCAACAAUUGGAUUUAAUGUUGAGACGGUGCAGUAUAACAAUAUAAAGUUUCAAGUUUGGGAUCUAGGGGGACAGACUAGUAUCAGGCCAUACUGGAGGUGCUAUUUUCCUAAUACUCAAGCUAUAAUCUACGUUGUCGACUCAAGUGACACUGAUAGGCUCGUGGUUGCUAAAGAGGAGUUCCACGCCAUAUUGGAGGAGGAAGAGUUGAAGGGUGCUGUUGUCCUCAUCUAUGCUAACAAGCAGGAUCUUCCUGGUGCACUUGAUGAUGCUGCAGUGACUGAGGCCUUAGAGCUGCACAAGAUUAAAAGUAGGCAGUGGGCUAUUUUUAAGACUUCUGCCAUCAAAGGAGAAGGGCUCUUUGAGGGCUUGGACUGGUUG